Molecule: transfer RNA, 72 nt
Filed under: Cricetulus griseus (Chinese hamster)
Lineage: Eukaryota; Metazoa; Chordata; Mammalia; Rodentia; Cricetidae
Rfam family: tRNA
About the family: Transfer RNA (tRNA) molecules are approximately 80 nucleotides in length. Their secondary structure includes four short double-helical elements and three loops (D, anti-codon, and T loops).
Source: Rfam by way of RNAcentral
GGGAGUGUGGCUCAGUGGAAAAGCACUUGCCUAGCAUGUCUGAGGCCCUGGGUUCUAUUCCCAGCACUACAA